GGGGGUACAGCCCCUUUAAAAAAGGAUACAACCUCCACCAGGGGAUAACCCCACCCUAACCUAACCCCCGGGGGUCUUAAAGCAGCCACCCUUAAAGAACGGGUCAAAGCUCUACAGACUAAAAAUCUAAAAACACCGUAAAUCCCUGAACCCAUAGCAGGUCAACCUACAACAGUAGAUGAAUCAAUGCUAAAACGAGUAACCAGGACACCAAGUCCCCCAAAGCGCCAACCUAAACACCAUUAACAGCACAACCCCAAUACCAAACCCCCGACUAAACAUUGAGCACACCCUGUCAGACCAACCCAGGAGCGCACACUAGGAUGAUUAAAAUCUGCAGAAGGAACUCGGCAAACCCAAGACCCGACUGUUUACCAAAAACAUAGCCUUCAGCCGAACAAGUAUUGAA
RNAcentral lists this ribosomal RNA (409 nucleotides) under Amazona aestiva (blue-fronted amazon). RNAcentral's name for it is "partial 16S ribosomal RNA". The record is from RNAcentral. Lineage: Eukaryota; Metazoa; Chordata; Aves; Psittaciformes; Psittacidae.